Molecule: ribosomal RNA, 432 nt
Filed under: uncultured Desulfobulbus sp.
Lineage: Bacteria; Pseudomonadati; Thermodesulfobacteriota; Desulfobulbia; Desulfobulbales; Desulfobulbaceae
Description: bacterial SSU rRNA
Rfam family: Bacterial small subunit ribosomal RNA
Source: RNAcentral
UUCGAAGCAACGCGAAGAACCUUACCAGGCCUUGACAUGCAGAGAACUUUCCAGAGAUGGAUUGGUGCCUUCGGGAACUCUGACACAGGUGCUGCAUGGCUGUCGUCAGCUCGUGUCGUGAGAUGUUCGGGUUAAGUCCCGCAACGAGCGCAACCCUUGCCUUUAGUUGCCAGCAGUUCGGCUGGGCACUCUAAAGGGACUGCCGGUGUUAAACCGGAGGAAGUGGGGAUGACGUCAAGUCCUCAUGGCCUUUAUGACCAGGGCUACACACGUACUACAAUGGCCGAUACAAAGGGCAGCGACACUGCGAGGUGAAGCCAAUCCCGUAAAAUCGGUCUCAGUCCGGAUUGGAGUCUGCAACUCGACUCCAUGAAGUUGGAAUCGCUAGUAAUCGUGGAUCAGCAUGCCACGGUGAAUACGUUCCCGGGCCUU